GGUUGAUCCUGCCAGUAGUCAUAUGCUUGUCUCAAAGAUUAAGCCAUGCAAGUCUAAGUAUAAGUUUAUACACAACGAAACUGCGAAUGGCUCAUUAAAACAGUUAUAGUUUCUGUGAAAAUAAUUACUACACGGAUAUCUGUGGUAAUUCUGGAGCUAAUACGUGCAUCAACACUUGGCUUCACAGCUUGAGUGGCGCUUAUUAGAUAAAGAACCGACCCAUGCUUGCAUGGUUUUCUGGUGAUCCAUAAUAACUUUAGUGAAUCGCAUUGCUUCGGCUAGCGAUAGUUCG
This 292-nucleotide ribosomal RNA is filed under the name uncultured eukaryote. Its description in RNAcentral is "partial 18S ribosomal RNA". It matches the Rfam family "Eukaryotic small subunit ribosomal RNA", at positions 6 to 297 of the family's 1831-position model. The record is from RNAcentral.